GAGAAGUUGGAUGCAGUUAUCUGUCAAGACGCCAUUGUUAUUGUGAAAAUUUGUACUGUGUUCUACUGCAAUCAGUGUUGAUUGUCCUUCCACUUGUCGCGUUUUGAAAUUAAUAAUAGCAAUUUAAAUUACCAGUUUCUUUAUACCGUUCAAUAAAUUGAACGGAUAGAAAACCUAAUAAUGGGUCUCAUUUGUUCAACAGCGCAGCUUGCCUGCCUGUGCAGCAGCACAGCCUGCAGUUUCUGUUGUUCUCAAUGUCCAUCGUGUCGCAACAGCACGAGUACUCGUAUUAUGUAUGCAUUAUUAUUAAUGAUAGGAACUAUUGCUGCUUGCAUUACAUUGGCUCCUGGUUUGCAAGAUGCGCUUAAAAAGGUACCAUUUUGUGCUAAUAGCACAAACUAUGUUCCAUCGAAAUUCACUAUUGAUUGUGAGUCCGCUGUUGGAUAUUUAGCAGUGUAUAGAAUAUGUUUCAUCAUAGCUCUGUACUUCUUUUUGAUGUCUGUUAUGAUGAUCAGAGUAAGAAGUUCUAAAGAUCCCAGGGCACCUAUACAAAAUGGAUUCUGGGCUAUUAAAUAUCUUCUAAUAAUCGGUGGAAUAAUUGGCGCAUUUUUCAUACCUGAAAAGUCAUUUGGAACAACAUGGAUGUAUUUUGGAAUGAUUGGUGGCUUUCUUUUUAUUAUUAUUCAAUUAAUUCUCAUAGUUGAUUUUGCCCAUUCAUGGGCAGAUGCUUGGGUUGGUAAUUAUGUGGAUACAGGAUCAAAAGGAUGGUAUGCUGCACUAUUAGGAGCAACGUUGUUUAAUUACGCUGUUUCUAUUACCGGAAUUGUUUUACUUUUUAUAUACUUUACUCACCCAUAUACCUGUGCCUUGAAUAAAUUUUUCAUAUCCUACAACCUAAUCGUAUGUGUAAUUGUUAGUAUCAUAUCAACUCUACCAGUUGUACAAGAACAUUAUCCACGUUCUGGUCUUCUUCAAUCGUCUAUUGUUUCCUUGUACGUUGUUUAUUUAACAUGGAGUGGAAUUUCAAACAGCCCAGAUAGUGAGUGCAAUCCUGGAUUCCUGAAAAUGUUUUCUCCUAAUGAUACCGAUACACGUAAUCGCGUAUCUUUCGACAAAGAAAGUGUUAUUGGUUUAGUCAUCUGGUUUAGUUGUGUAUUGUAUAGUUCUUUGCGUACUGCAUCCAAAUCAUCAAAACUUACAAUGUCCGAGAAUGUUUUGGUCAAGGAUAAUGGAGCAGUUAGGAACGCAGUUGACCAGAGUCUUAUCGACAACGAAGAUUAUACUCCAGUAGAAGGCCGUAAUCCUGACGCAGAAAGUGGAAAUGAGGCUAAAGUAUGGGAUAAUGAAGAGGACACGGUAGCUUACAAUUGGAGUUUCUUCCAUCUCAUGUUUGCUCUCUCCACGCUAUAUGUUAUGAUGACACUUACUAAUUGGUACCAACCAAAUUCCGAUUUGAAUACUCUGAACUCCAAUGCCGCCUCAAUGUGGGUAAAAAUUAUAUCCUCUUGGAUGUGUUUGGGACUGUAUGGAUGGUCAUUGAUCGCUCCUGCAAUAUUGACAAAUCGAGAUUUCUCUUAAAUAUAGAAAUAUCGUCACAAAACGUGGAGAGUGGUAAUUAGCAGACAAUUCCGCCUUUAACUCCUAUUGCACAUAAAACUGUUCUAAAGUUUUUGUAUACCCUGAAUAGUUAAGACUGUUAUAAAAAUAUCUAUACAAAGUUAUAUUAUGAUCUCUAUAAAGUAUUGAUACUCGAUGUAUGUUUGCAUACAUAUUAAAUUAAUGCAAACGAAUACUACUAUGGACGCAGCGAUACCAAAAUAACAACUGUUUAUAAAUACAAUUAUGUCUUACUUAAAAGGAUUAGGUUGAAUCGCAUUUUACUCUAUUUUACAAUAAUAUAUUUGUGCAGAGCAACUAUAAUAAAUACAUUAAUAUAACAUAUUUUACA
This is an RNA transcript of Hylaeus volcanicus, 1948 nucleotides long. It is a transcript of the gene named serine incorporator 1, with no coding region annotated. The transcript has 12 exons. The record is from RefSeq and is a predicted model, not a curated record. Lineage: Eukaryota; Metazoa; Arthropoda; Insecta; Hymenoptera; Colletidae.